Molecule: ribosomal RNA, 254 nt
Filed under: uncultured bacterium
Lineage: Bacteria
Description: partial 16S ribosomal RNA
Rfam family: Bacterial small subunit ribosomal RNA
Source: RNAcentral
CACGUAGGCACCAAGCGUUGUCCGGAUUUAUUGGGCGUAAAGAGCUCGUAGGCGGCUUAGUAAGUCGGAUGUGAAAACUCGGGGCUCAACCCCGAGACGCCAUCCGAUACUGCUGUGGCUUGAGUCUGGUAGGGGAACACGGAAUUCCUGGUGUAGCGGUGAAAUGCGCAGAUAUCAGGAGGAACACCGAUGGCGAAGGCAGUGUUCUGGGCCAGUACUGACGCUGAGGAGCGAAAGCGUGGGGAGCAAACAGG